GGGAAACUGCCUGAUGGAGGGGGAUAACUACUGGAAACGGUAGCUAAUACCGCAUAACGUCGCAAGACCAAAGAGGGGGACCUUCGGGCCUCUUGCCAUCAGAUGUGCCCAGAUGGGAUUAGCUAGUAGGUGGGGUAACGGCUCACCUAGGCGACGAUCCCUAGCUGGUCUGAGAGGAUGACCAGCCACACUGGAACUGAGACACGGUCCAGACUCCUACGGGAGGCAGCAGUGGGGAAUAUUGCACAAUGGGCGCAAGCCUGAUGCAGCCAUGCCGCGUGUAUGAAGAAGGCCUUCGGGUUGUAAAGUACUUUCAGCGGGGAGGAAGGCGAUAAGGUUAAUGACCUUGUCGAUUGACGUUACCCGCAGAAGAAGCACCGGCUAACUCCGUGCCAGCAGCCGCGGUAAUACGGAGGGUGCAAGCGUUAAUCGGAAUUACUGGGCGUAAAGCGCACGCAGGCGGUCUGUCAAGUCGGAUGUGAAAUCCCCGGGCUCAACCUGGGAACUGCAUUCGAAACUGGCAGGCUGGAGUCUUGUAGAGGGGGGUAGAAUUCCAGGU
RNAcentral lists this ribosomal RNA (559 nucleotides) under uncultured bacterium. RNAcentral describes it as "bacterial SSU rRNA". It matches the Rfam family "Bacterial small subunit ribosomal RNA", at positions 120 to 674 of the family's 1533-position model. The record is from RNAcentral.